Molecule: long non-coding RNA, 3011 nt
Organism: Hypanus sabinus (Atlantic stingray)
Lineage: Eukaryota; Metazoa; Chordata; Chondrichthyes; Myliobatiformes; Dasyatidae
Exons: 3
Source: RefSeq, a predicted model, not a curated record
CUCUCCCUCUCUCCCUCUUUCCCUCUCUCCCUCCCUCUCCCUCUCCCUCUCUCCCUCGAUGCUGUUGGAGAAUGGUGCAGAAGCUCUGAGUCUGCGGUCUGUGGUUUGGAUGGUAGUUUGAACUUGUGUUUUAUGUUCUGUGUUUUUGCGCACUCUUUCUUGUAGCCCUUUGUACGAUUUGUUUUUGUUUGCGUGUGGAGAGGGGUUGAUGUGUUUCUCUGAAUGGGUUCCACGGUUUCCUUGCUUUGUGGCUGUCCAUGGGAAGAACACCCGGAGGAAACCCACACCGUCACAGGAGAGAGUACAAGCUCCUUACAGACUGCGGUGCAAUCGAAAGCUGACGGCAGCCGACACGAUACUAUGCUGUACCGUCAAACAGCGGAACAGGCUUCUCAGACGGUUAUAUUCCGGAAUGGACCAUCGUAUUCCGGUCUGGGCUGUUCUAUUCUGAAAAGGUCUUAAUAUUCUGGAACAGAUUGUUAUAUUCCAGAACGGGUUGUUAUUCUGGAAUGGGCCGUUGUAUUCUGGAACAAGUUGUUAUAAUGGAAUGGGCCAUUGUAUUCUGGAACAGACAGUUAUAUUCUGUCACAUGCAUUCUGCGAAGCUGGAUUCAGGAGUAACUUCAACAAGAAAUUGAAUACAGUGCUGAGAUUCGGCCUCCCACAGGCGGCCAUGGAAACAAAGAAACACCAUGGAACCCAUCAAGAAAACAUCAAACACACAGUGUGCGGAGCAGAGAGCACAUUGAGUAAACGGCCAGAGGCGAACGAACAACAUGCAGACUAUCAAACGUCAAGCCGGGAUUCUGGUGUCAUUCAGCUCAGUUCGCAUUAGCGCCAUGCCGUGAGCCCACUGCAGGCCUCGGGGACGUUCUUCGCAAAAGUGUCCCGGUCCAAACCGCGCAGGAACAACAACAAUAUAGAAGGGUAACCAGAAUCCAGGAACACAGGCAACAUGAACAUCAAAGUCCCCCAGGACGGGUGCACGGCCUCGCUAAUCAAUCCCGGCAAUGUGAAACCCAAGACUCCUGCACUUUCCUCCAACAGUAGCUAGCGAGAGAGAGAGAGGAAGACUGGGGACACGCAGGCAGGCAGAACUGAGCACCCGCCAUCAUCCUCACCAAUCGGAGCAGCGGAGUCAGUUGUGAGCUCGCGCCCUCGACGCCUCAAUUGGAGGGAAGCAGUGGAGUCGAUCAUGGGCUUGUGGCCCAACUCCUCAAUCCGAAAGGAAUCAUGGGCUCGCGCCCUCGACACCUCAAUUGGAGGGAAGCAGUGGAGUCGAUCAUGGAUUCGACGUGGGAUCAUCCCCUCGACACCUGGUUGGAGAGAAGCAAUGGAGUCGAUCACGGGCUCGCGCCUCAUCUCCAGGCUAUCAGGCCUUUAUUUAAAUUGUUCUGAAAUAAUAUCAUAGUCAGAGCACUGAGCUGUCGCUCUUCAGCCUUUUUCAGUGUAAUGCCAAGGUCAGUGAAUAAUCACACUGGGAUUAAAUGAAUAAAGAUUUCAAAGUUUCAAAGUCAAGUUUAUCGUCAGCUGCCAAAUACAUACACGCACAGGUGCAAUGAAAAACUUACUGGCAGCAGCAUCAAGUUUGUUUAAUCCUUAUUCAACCAUAGCCAUGCACGCAGCCAAAUGAAACAGCGUUCCUGCAGGUCCAAGGUGCAAAACCCAUCACCAACAGCACAUAUAAUAAAUGUAGCGAAAAAAAUUACAGUCACACAAAAAAACCCCAAGUCCCCGAGUGCCAUGGCUUGUGGUUUGCUGGUGUCCCAGUUCCUCGUCAUGUGCUGCUGGUGCAGCCCCAGGCGAAUGCAAACACGAUCCAACUCACCCUCCGUCGAGCGACCGGCAGUGACAGGAGGGCACCCUCGCUCCCACACAGUAAGCCCAGGGGCUCCACCAUAUCCGCAGCGUGCUCUCCCAGUGGUUCUCCGCACUGGCAGCACCCUCAGCCUGGCGGGCCCUGGGGGUGAAAGAAAGAGGCCGAGCCUCCCGAAACCGUUAUUCUUACACCCCCUGAGGUGGCUGAAAAUGAACACUGGCACCGUGGUGGGAAGGUGCUGUUGCAUAUACUUCAAAUCGAUGAAGAGGCUUUCGACUGACAGGUAAUCUAAGCCUCCGCGUGACAGCGACCCCGCGGCAUGAGGGCCAGAUCCACUCAGCAACCGAGGCCACACAGCUCCCCUGCCGACGGUCUUGCCAGUGAACCAGAUUAGCAGUAUUCUACAUCACGGGCACACAGCAAUCACAAGAAAAACAUAAAUUUCUUUUUACAAGAGAAAAACACUCUAGAGCUAAAAUCAGUGUAAAGUGAUCAAAGUGUCACUUUGUUACUAGGGUCUUCCUAGUUGGUUUGCCAAGUGGAUGGGUGAAGGGAAGUAGCUACUCCUAAACCUGGUGAUGAUGUUAUGUGAAAUGUGAAAGACUGGUACAGGUUUCAGUAUUUAAACUGGAUGGUCUGAUUUCAGUAGCCUAAUUUGAAACCAUAAGGCAUGGGAGCAGAAGAAAGCUGUUCAGCCUGUUGAAUCUGCUUCACCCUGCAUCACUGCUGAUCCAUUUCUCACUCAGCAGCGACCCCCUGCUUCUCUCCAUAUCCCUUCAAGCCCUGACCAGUCAAGAGUGUAUCAACUUCUGCUUUAGAUAUACCCAGUGACGGCCUCCACGGCCACCUUAAGCAAUAAGUACUACGGCUUUCCACUCUCUUGCUAAAGAAAUUCGUCCUCACCUCUGUUCCAGAUGGAUGUUCCUCUGUUCUGAGGCUGUGUCCUCUGGUCCUAGACUCCCUCACCAUAGGAAACAUCCUCUCCACAUCCACUCUAUCUGUGUCCUCUGGUCCUAGACUCCCCCACCAUAGGAAACAUCCUCUCCACAUCCACUCUAUCUGUGUCCUCUGGUCCUAGACUCCCCCACCAUAGGAAACAUCCUCUCCACAUCCACUCUAUCUGUGUCCUCUGGUCCUAGACUCACCCACCAUAGGAAACAUCCUCUCCACAUCCACUCUAUCUGUGUCCUCUG